UAUGUGAUCGUCUCUCGCAUAUCAAUAAGCGGAGGAAAAGAAACUAACAAGGAUCCCCCUAGUGACGGCGAGUGAAGCGGGAAGAGCUCAAAUUUGAAAUCUUAAAGGGUUUCCCUUUACGAAUUGUAGUUUAAAGAAGUGUUUUCUGUUGAGGUUUUGGUAAAAGUUCUUUGGAAUAGGACAUCAUAGAGGGUGAGAAUCCCGUAUUUGACCUUUACUUUCAACUUUGUGAUACACUUUCAAAGAGUCGGAUUGUUUGGGAAUGCAGUCCAAAAUGGGUGGUAAAUUUCAUCUAAAGCUAAAUAUUGGCGAGAGACCGAUAGCGAACAAGUACCGUGAGGGAAAGAUGAAAAGAACUUUGAAAAGAGAGUUAAACAGCACGUGAAAUUGUCAAAAGGGAAGCGUUUGACACCAGUGUUGUUUUUCUGAAAAUCAAUUAAAGAACUGUUUAUGCUAAGUUGUUUAGACUUUAUCAGCUAACUGUUUAGUUUUGAGCUUUUCUUUAAUGCACUUUUCAGUUAACAAGUCAACAUCAAUUUCUUUUGCUGUAAAAAAGCUUGAGGAAGGUGGCUUGAGAUUCGUCUUAAGUGUUUAUAGCCUCUUGCCUAUGCAGUCGGAGAGAUUGAGGUCUGCAGCGUAGAUCCUUCGGGGCUAAAUGCAUUUGUGCUAAGUUAUAGCAUUUUAUAGACAACUUGUUGACUAUGAUUUGUCUUGUAGCUUACUCGCUUAUGUUAUUUUACCUACGCUUAGGAUGUUGACGAGACUGUCGAUCUC
RNAcentral lists this ribosomal RNA (774 nucleotides) under uncultured Neocallimastigales. RNAcentral's name for it is "partial large subunit ribosomal RNA". It matches the Rfam family "Eukaryotic large subunit ribosomal RNA", at positions 24 to 646 of the family's 3401-position model. The record is from RNAcentral. Lineage: Eukaryota; Fungi; Neocallimastigomycota; Neocallimastigomycetes; Neocallimastigales.